Molecule: long non-coding RNA, 231 nt
Organism: Poecilia latipinna (sailfin molly)
Lineage: Eukaryota; Metazoa; Chordata; Actinopteri; Cyprinodontiformes; Poeciliidae
Exons: 2
Source: RefSeq, a predicted model, not a curated record
UCUGGGCUGGAAGACAACAAGCCGAGUCACAAUGUGGAUUAAAGGAACUGCUUCACACUGGGGCAAACCGGAUCAGAACCGCUCAGGAACACAGUAACCUGCGCAGUUCAGUGGACACAUUGUGGCGGCAUCUGAUAAAGUCUGUCAUACAACCGAUUAAUGCCUAAAGAAAGAGUUGCAGUGAUUUGUAUUUGUCUUUAACUUAAUUCCAAUAAAAACCAGUUUCCCCUG